Molecule: microRNA precursor, 206 nt
Organism: Oryza rufipogon (brownbeard rice)
Lineage: Eukaryota; Viridiplantae; Streptophyta; Magnoliopsida; Poales; Poaceae
Rfam family: MIR812 microRNA precursor family
Source: Rfam
AAAAAAAACAAACUCUGGUUUCCGUGUCCAACGUUUGACCGUUCGUCUUAUUUGAAAAAAAUAUAAAAAAAAUUAAGAAGAUAAGUCACGCAUAAAAUAUUAAUCAUGUUUUAUCAUCUAACAAAUAUGAAAAUACUAAUUAUAAAAAAAAUUCAUAUAAGACGAAUAGUCAAACGUUAGUACGGAAACUCAGGGUUUGCCUUUUU